Long non-coding RNA from Cairina moschata (Muscovy duck), 2401 nucleotides. NCBI's taxonomy places the organism in Eukaryota, Metazoa, Chordata, Aves, Anseriformes, Anatidae. The record is from Ensembl.
UUCUCCUUAGUCCUCCUUUUUGUGUUGAUGUAUUUAUAAAAACAUUUUUUGUUAUCUUUAACAGCAGUAGCCAGAUUGAGCUCCAGAUGAGCUUUGGCCUUCCUAAUUUUGUCCCUGCACUGCCUCGCAACAUCCUUAUAGUCCUCCCUAGUGGCCUGCCCACUUUUCCAAAGAUAAUAAACCCUCUUUUUUCUCCUAAGCUCAAGCCACAGUUCUCUGUUGAGCCAGGCUGGUCUUCUUGGCUAUGAAGGGUCACAUUAACCCUUACAACUGUGUUAACUUCAAGCCCUACCUAGCUGCAAUCUCCAACUUGAUGACGGUCAGCUAGCUGUUCAACAAAAGUUAUCUGCUUCUAGUAUUACUAGUACAGCUCUUUUACAUACACAAAUAUACACAUGCUCACACACAGAUUAUGUUCUACAGGCCUAGCCUCUCCUUGCCGUAGAGCAGAUGCUCCACAGGCCCUGUCUGUAUCAUACACAGACAGCAGGUACCACUGGCUCUAUACCACCUGCAAGUAUAAAACUAAAAUAAAUAAAUAAAUAAGAAUCCACCACCUAACCAAAACACCAGAACCAUGCUGUGACAAAAAAAAUAUCCUCCCACCCCAAACUAGCAGCCCUCCACAGCGUCUGAGCUAUCAAGAAGGAACACAAGGUUAUGAUCAUGCCCCCUUCUAAAACUAUUAUCUUCUGUAGAAAGCUAAAGCUUUGAUUAGUCAUACGGUGCCCAGAGUUGCAAGGAAUGAGACAGAAAAUUCCCUGCAGCAAGUUAACCACGAUCUGUGCAGGAGACCAAGGCAGGAGAAAGAUGACAAGGAAUCAAGGAAAUCAGAGCGGGCAGUUUAGCUGGAGUUGCAGGAAAAAGUAGGCAGGUUGUACAUGACAAGAAAAAACAAUCCCAGAUGUCCUUUCCUCAAUAAACUAACAUGUGGAAGGUCCUCACCAUCCCGCUCAGGCAGCGCAGAAGAGAAGAAAACAGGCCACUUUGACUCUGGACAGGGAAGGUCCACCUUACUGUAUACACAUCUGCUCUUCAGGAAAGCUGUGCGAGUCUUUUUCACUUCCAAGAGAUAAUAAAAAACAUUGAAUCUCAAGUGCCCAAUAAUCCAUCAAAGAGCAGAACUGCAGCUUUUAAGACUUGUAGAAAAACAUGGCAAUGCUGCACAAGUCUUUUACCCCCAAGCAGCUCAACUAAUGGAUUUGGAGAAUGCUUUGUGGGAGAAAAACUGCAUCUCUUCCCCUCCCAUUAAAAGGCAUUUAUAGGCUAAUUUAUUUUUCUCUGCCUAUGAAAAAUUAAGGCAGCGCAACUCUAUUUUUCAUAUAAGCCAAGAGCUUACUCAAAACAAAAUGAUUAUCAAACUUUGCCAUUACAAGGCAGGACAUCAAGCAAAACCCCUUCCUUCCUGCGUAGCACCUGGGUGCACAUGCCCACUGCUUGGGGCAGGCUAUGCUACACCUAAGGGAUUUGCUGCAGUGAUGUCUGUCGUAUAUUGAAGUCAGGAACUUCAGCAGGCCCCUCCUUGGUAAGUUCAUUGCUAUCUUCUGGUGUUCUAACUUAGGUCCAAUCUAGCUCGAUGCUUUUGAAGUCUUCUUAAGAAAAAGUAAGACAAAAAGCCACAUUUCACACUCUAGGAAUUUCAUUCUUUACUGGAACGAUUUUCUGGUACAUUAUUUUCAUCCAAAAAACCUACGCAAAACACAACAGUUUUUUUGGCCAGACAACAGAAAUAAACUUAGCUCCGUUUUGUUUGCUUUUUGCUGUUGCUUUGCUUGUUGUUUUUAAUUACACAGGCUGUAAUCAAUUGAAGUUGACUGAACUGACUACAGUGAAAUAUUAAAAACUAUCAGAAUGUCCUUGGAGAGCUGGAUUUAUUUUUUAUAAUAAACUAAGCUGAGUUAUUUGAAUACAUAUUUAUAGUUCAUUCAUUACACGCACUAUUCAUGCAGAUACUUUAAUUAACAUAACGCAACGUUAUGAAGUGUACUGUGGGGUUGGGAAAAAAUAGCAGAGGCAAGUUUUCUAAAACAUGGAAAUACUGAGCUCCAACAGUAGCAAAAUUGAAGCUCAAGGCAAAUGGAUUCAGGGUAUUACAUCAAAAUCCGCACAGGAGCAGCACCAACAACCAGGUACAAAAUAGGCCAGUGGAGAUAAAUUGAGAGCUGUUUCACAAGCUAAUUUUUCUCACUUGUCACAGCUUUUUUUUUUUUUUUUUUUUUUUUGCUGAGCACUCCAGAAGACAACUGCUUUGAAGAUUUUACAGCUAAUGUACUGCUUUAUAAAACAUGUGCCAACGGCAAAAAAAACAGCCUUGGAAAUAGUGUCAGAACGUAGCUUGGAUUUGGACUAUAUGUCACGCAUGCCAGUACAGUUGUCCAACACAUAAAAUACAUGGUAAAAA